This 26-nucleotide ribosomal RNA is filed under the name Dendrobium equitans. Its description in RNAcentral is "partial 18S ribosomal RNA". The record is from RNAcentral. Lineage: Eukaryota; Viridiplantae; Streptophyta; Magnoliopsida; Asparagales; Orchidaceae.
GUAGUGACAUGCGGAGGGAUCAUUAG